GGAGCACCUGAUUUCACUCCUAGUUUUUAGUGGAGUUCGUGUUGUUUCCUACUUAUUAUUUGUAACUGUUGAUGUAAAUGUCUUUUAGUUUUAUGAGUCUUUGGUUACUCCUUGGUUUUAAUUGUUAUUGUCUUAUACACGAUACCUUAUGGAUGUAUUUACAUGAUAUAAGCUUAUUAUUACACUUGCGUAUAUGAAUAACACAUGACAAGAAGGUUUCAUAUGAAAUAAAAUUUAAAAAAUAAAAUCCUCCCACCCGCCC
This 262-nucleotide long non-coding RNA is filed under the name Mytilus galloprovincialis (Mediterranean mussel). Lineage: Eukaryota; Metazoa; Mollusca; Bivalvia; Mytilida; Mytilidae. The record is from RNAcentral.